GAUACUUUGUAUCGAUGUAUGGAUACUUCCUAACCCGUGGUGAGUUGCAAUGUCUCCAACGUAGAAGAUGGAUAAACGACAGGUUUAUGACUAUGGUGGCGAAGACAUUCGUUGGAGAUCAAAAGGAAAAAGAUGGGCGAGUCAACCGUCAUAUAUUUUCUGCAGAUUUCAUGCAGAAAAUGGUGGCGAAUCCUUUAAGGU
Neltuma alba is the source of this 201-nucleotide long non-coding RNA. RefSeq lists it as uncharacterized. The transcript is spliced from 2 exons. The record is from RefSeq and is a predicted model, not a curated record. Lineage: Eukaryota; Viridiplantae; Streptophyta; Magnoliopsida; Fabales; Fabaceae.